GCAGCUCCACUCACAAUCGGAGGAACUGCUCUACGACCACCUUCCCGCGGGUCAGUGGACUCCCCCACUACCACAUCACGCACUCCAUGAAGAUAAGUAGUGAGCAUGCGCGAGGCCUCACGUAUUCUCCUUUGUGUUCGAGCUCGAGCACGCGUGUACGCCAGAGUUGGAGUAAUUCCCCGGAGAGCGUGGACGACCGUGAGGUCUCACGACACGUCGCCAGAUCCGGAGAUCCCUGCUACGACUCGAAGGGAGACGAGGACUACGCGCGUGCCGGAGAGCAAGGACGAUUGCAAAGCCUCUGGACGUGCUGUCAGGUCCGGUAAUUCCUCUAAUGUCCUCCCAUAGCACCUGGGUUCAUGUAUCAUCUAAUUAGACCCAUGCCUAUCGUCGUGUGUCUGUAAAGUUCUUCCAUACUUGGCUUUGAACCAUGAUUGUUCACUGUUUCCGAAUAACCUGUUGUUCCAUGAUAUAAUGAUUGUUCACUGUUUCUUUGAGGCAUAGCUGAGUUUGCUUAGAAAUUGCAAUUAGUAGGUUUCCGAAUAACCGUGAGAUAAUCUUACUGUCAUUCUAUCAUGUAAUGUACAAGGACAUAGCCACAGAUGUAAUCCUUACAUCUCCUGAAUGAAUUAUUCUUUCACAUUUUAGCUGUGCAGCCCACUUCCUGUUUCAUUACUUCAGUGUAGUGUUUAUCACUCCAUCUCCAUUGUUCUGCAAGGAAGCAUUCGAGCUGCUCAAAUCUCAUAAGGUAGAACCUUGAGUGGAGUUCUGAACAAGUGCAUCCAAGUGUGAAUUUUCAUGUGAAUUAACUACACCAGUAACCAAUUCUUAUUGCAAAGGUGUUGCGUGCCGGUCUCAUUUUAGUGAAUAACAGAUUACUCUGCUUUGAGUGUGCCUGUGUCAUGUAUCUCAUUCUUUAUCAGUUAGUUAUAUCAUUGUUCAACAACAUUUCUGCGAGCAGAAGCUGGUUCUCUGUGAAGGAAUCACAUGAAACAACAUUCAAAUUGCAGAGACCACCAUGGCGGUAAAUCAUGUCUGCUACAUCAUUUUUGAAUAAACCCUAUGAUUCACUACCUGCUUGUCGUCAUCUUUAAAGAUUGUCCGAACCCCGUAUAAACAUCUGUUGUACCAGCUGCAGCGAGCAAGCCAUAUUUCUGCUUUUAUCAAGUCUUUUAUUUCUGCAAAAUAUUUCAUGCGACCAUUCUUGCAAUGGUUUAUGUUUAGUAUUUUGUUGCCUUAAUCUUGGAUCUCCUGUGAACUUGCAAUGGUGGUUCUUUUGUACGUGUUGAACAAGUAUUCCUAAACUUCUUUUCUUUCUGCGAAAUAUUUCAUGUGAUCGUUCUUGCAAUGUACUCUCCGUCCCUAUAGGUCUUUGGCAUUUGGUCGAGGCGAGGCUGGCUGCCUGCCACAGGUCACCUCAACCUUGUCUACUGGUGCAGGCUGUAGCGUGUAUGACAGGCUAGCAGCUAAUUAGCAAGUCAUAGUCACUUGUUUUUUUCAUUCAUUGUUUGAAGUAUACAGCACAACCUACGUGAUUGAGGAAGUGAGGAUUUAUGCUUCAUUUUUCACAACUUAUAUUUAGUUAAAUUGUUGAUUUAGUGCAUAAUCUGUAAGGAUUUCUUUAUGGAGGAAACAAAAACCGACAUGGUAGUAGUGGUGGUUCUGAUGGCCCAGAGGACGAGUCUUUUAAGCAAUCGUUAUAUGAGUUUUGGUACUGUUGCUUGGGUAGAUGUGAACGAAUAUGAGACUCUGCAACCUGACAAGAUUGCUAUGGAUGGAGGGGAACAAAAUCUGAAGGUAAGCUAAUAAGUAUUUGCUCAGAGAACAGCCUGAAGAAGUGAAGAUCUCAAUGCAUUCCAUGAACUCUUAUAGCUCAUUUGAUCUUAGGCACUAUACUUGCAAGUGAUUCCUCUGCUCCGUCUGUUGCCCUUUGAAUAGGAACUCAACUCAAUGUUCUCAAAGCCUGUGAAAGAGCAUUUGUCAACUGAUGAAGGAGAGGUAGACGACCUAGCUGUUAUUUCGAUGGAUAGCAAAGGCAUCGAUAUCCGUGUCCAACAAGGUGCACAGGUGCAACUUUCUGAAAAGGGUGCCGGGGCUUUAACGACUCUUGCUAAGAUAUUUCUGGUUGUUGGUCUAGGAAUGCUUCCUAUUUUGCCAAAACACCUUGUCGAUAGAGCUUGCAAACUUUUACUAUCUGAAGAAUGAAGAUUUGAUAUGUAGUUCACUGGAAUCUUCUUGCAUGAUGGGAUUUGAUUGAAUUUCCUUCUAUGUGCACAAAAACCAAGAGCAUCUAACAUGCCAACAAUUCAAGCUGGCAGCAGUCUACACUUGGAAUAAAGGAUGUGUUAAUUGCAACCGUCGUUGAUGUCGCGCCUUGUGCUCCGCCUAUGAGAUGAAAUGCUAGCUCAUUGGAUGACAUGCGCAACCCAAAUUCGAUUUGGCCAGGUUGUUGUUUAUUGUGUGGUUUACUCUCCCUGUGAAUUGGUUGAUGUAGUGCGUACAUGUGUGUGAAUAUGUUUGUGUUUGGAUUUCAGUUCGUAGAGAAGAAGGCGACAUGUAUGUGUUCGCGAUUUGGGAAGUAGGUGCAUGGUAUUUGUGAGUUGAUGAUUUGUUUUGAAGUGAGUUAUGCAAAGAGCGUAUUGGUUCUAUGCAUGCGAUGUGUGAUUAUGUUGAUGAAUGUGAUAUAAGUUUAGUGUUUCAAACGGUUAGUUGAUAUGUUGUAUCAGUGUUGUUGGUGUUGCUUUCGCUUGUAUGGCGAAUUGAUGCUUCGCUUUAACAGUCCUGGCAUUCUAUACUUAGUGGGUGUGUAAAUAUUAUGUUGAUCGGUUAUAGGUCCUGUAUGAGUGAUAUUGCUGCCCAAAAUUGUUUGGAAGCGAGUAGCGUCAAUAAGUUGAUUUCCGUGGAAAUCGGAGAAACGACCCGACAAAAUAUACAUGUAAGAGUUUUUGGUCUUAGGUAAUAAAGUGUGGUUUCGUUGACGUCUAUUCUUCAUGAUAAUGCUCCAUGUUUUAAAUCAAAUAAAGAUGUGAUGUUUAUUUGGUUGAUGCGCUACAUGAGUUGGUCGGUAAAAGUAGUUAGAGAGCUAGUCAAACUGCAUGUACCCAUGUUCUGAGUUCUAGGUGUCCCAUGAAUGUUGAGACUAGUUUUGUUAGUCUUAUGCUUAGCUAAGAAACAUGUAAGACAUAUAUAUGGUUUAGUGUUUUCUUAAUUCAUGAGCUAUGUCGGGUUAAAUAGGAAAGAGUGGUGAAUGUGCUUGUUAAUUGUAUGUUUGUAGCUCUAGUGAUCCAAAUGAAUUGAAGGUAAUUAGUGAGUUGACUUUGGUGCUUAUUGUGUGGUUUUAUCUCUCAAGAACGGUAAGGAUAUUAUAAUAUUCUAAGUGUCAAGAACAUGAUAACUGUAGAAACUAAAUAGGAGUGAAGUUAGAAUACUUUUCGUUUGGACUGCAGGUACAGUUUUUUCCGUGCCAUUAGUUUGGUGAACUAAACUAUAUUUUAUGUAGAAAUGUUCUAUACAAAAGUUGUAGAUAACGUCUUUAUCUUUCUUGUGUUAAAAUUUCAUGGCCAUAGGUCUAAUAGUUUGGAAGAUAUGCUUCUCACAAGUCUAAUAUUAGAAUCUAUCCAUGUUUUGACUAGAUUUAAAAAAUGACAUUGUUUGUCCAAGUUAAACUAAGAUUAAGCUCUUAGUAAUUAUAAGUAAGUUGUAGUACUUUUAUUAAUCUUUCUAUAAAGUUAUGGAUCACGCUUUUUGGUGGUCUACAUCUUCAUUUAUAGAUGUUUGAAGUAUGAGGUCUGAAUCUGUCCAAAUCUGGACAGAGGCAACUUCUUUGUGUUGAAUGACCUUGAUAGAGAUUGAACCACCUUGAGGUGAUUAUAAUUUUUUUGUAGACAAUUUUAUUAGAUUUCCAUAAAGUUUUAGAUCACAUGUUUUUCAUGCCUGAAUCUCUGGUUAUGGCUAAAAUUAAGUACUGACUGUGUUGCUAUCCAGAAUCUGCAAGUGUUUAGUGUUGAGGAACUAUUAUUUAGAUGUGGCCUUAGCCUCGGUGAACUGGCAGUCUUCAUUAGUGUGGUGUUGAUCCUCCAAGAUGCAUGCCACAAUAGAGGCAUGUAGCUUCAUAACUUUCUUUCAUAGCACCUCUAGUUCUUCAUUGUCACCAGCCAUGGAGAGAUUAGUAGAUCGAAAUCAUAGUGGCCGAGUGACAGAAAUAGACAUGGGCUAGAAUGACACACAUUAUGUCAUGUCGAGGUGGUGGACGUGCAACAUGGAGCAUGACUGCAUGGAAGCCAAAGACGAUCGAUGAGAUCGGCGCAACAAGAUGGGCAUCGAAAGAUGCACAACAUGGUUACGAUCUUGAUACCAUGAGAGUGGAUACUAACUCACACAAUGAGUUAUUGUAUUGGUCCAACCAUAUGUAUAUGUUGGAUCUGUGGUGGAGAUGGCGAUUUUGACGCCUAGGGCCACUAUCUAAGUGCCAGGGUCGUGCGAGAGGGGGUGCUAGCUGUUCAGUGGAACAGGGCUCCUAAAUCCUGAGGGCCCCAAAAAUUUCAAAGCUACAAUCUGUUGCUCACGUAAUUUUGUCAGUCCAUGUCGUCUAUGGCCGGUACUGGCGUGUGCCAGAGUCUCAACGUGUGCUAGCCUAGUAGGCUAGUAGCAUGCUAGGAGAGUAUGAGUGCAUGUUUGCACUCUGCAGUCUGCCACAAGCUGCUAGUGAGUGGUGGCCAGACAAGCUUGCUGCGUCACUGCGUCUGUGAACAUUAGGCCACUAAGAAAACAAGGUAAAAUUUUAAAUAUUUUUUCUUUAACUAGGUUUGUUACUUUGUUUGAUUAUAUAUUGAAAUAUAAAUUGAUUAGACCUUUUCAAUUAUUAUUGGACAUCCUUAUAAACUAAAUAAUUUUAUUGCAUUUAUCUUUUUUAUGUAUGUGCACCAUUUGGUUUAGUAUUCCGAGAUCCAACUACCGAUCAUGCCUAAUUCUCGUUCCAAAAGGCGUAAGAAGAGACAAAGAAUAGAAGAUUUAAUUCAGUCUCAAAAGGAAGCUAUAAAUAUAUUUACUAUUGAAAAUUACAAGUGCCCUCAGUCAUUUAAUCAAGGCCCAACUUUGAUAAUAAUGCUGACAAUGGUCCUUGAUAUGGCCAAAUGGAUACGAAUAAUAUGAGCAUAUAAUUGAAGAAUUUAAUUCAAGAAACACUAAAAAAAUUAUUUAAGUGAAAAUUAUGCAACCAAAAAUUGAAUAUAUAUAUAUAUAUAUUUAUAUAUCUUAAUGUUAUCUAAUAUAUUCUAAAUUUUAUAGUAUUGUAAUGGUGAGCCUUUAUUCUAGAGUUUGCACAGGGCCCUUAAUUUUGCCAGCACGGCCCUGCUAAGUGCCUAUGUCACCCAUAUAUAGUUAUAUGUGUCAAUAUUUUUUAGAACCAAACAAUAAUAGUACAUCUUAUUGAAAUAACAUUCUUAAUAGUCAAAAAAAUUGUUCUUCUCAAUUUGAAACAUCUUGAUAGCAAGGUCAUCAAAAUCAUGACAAUUAGCAAAUUUAGGGUCAAAUCUCACAUCAGUAAUGAAUAGAUCAAGUUGUUCUCAAAGCCACAUAAGUUCAUAGUGACCAAAACCAAUAACAUACAUCUUUGAUUAUUUUAUUAGUUGAUCUCCAUUAGAGCUAGCGAAAGAAUUCUUUGGAUCUAGACAAGCAAUGCAUAUCAAUAGUUGAGUAAACCUUUCGGUGAAGUGAUAGUUUAGUUCCAUAAUAAUUUUGUUAUUUUACCAUAUUAAAUAUCUCAUAUCCACUUCUCCUUGAGUGACACCUAAGAGUAAUGGUAUCCUCCAUGUUUGAUAUAACAAUGUUAUGUUGGUGACAAAAAAAUCUUUACCUCCUCAAAUAAUUCCCCCCAACCAUUCUCUCGUAUCUCAUUAAUUUGUUGCAAUGUAAUUCUAAUGCUUACAAAAUUAGUAUGCAUCUAUAGUCAUAUUAUAUCUUACAAUUGUGCAAUUAUAAAUCAGAGCAAGUAUGUACAUGAAGCAAAAUCAAGGAAGUAGCAAAUUUAAGAUUACCUUGUGGUGUUGAUUGCCCGUGCUAAGGGGAAAGGUGCCUAGUUAGCAACUCUUCCUCUGCAUAUGGCGUUCAUGUGUGUGCAGUGGCUGCAUAGUUGUGCUCACACGUGUGGCACAACGUUGUCUAGCUAGCCGACUGCUUUGGCGCUGUGGAGUGUCAUGCCGCACUAAAGUGCUAGAUUAGAAUCGAGUGUUGUGUCGCGCUGGAGUGUCCAACUACUGGUGCGAUGACUGUGGAGUUGCUAUGGCGUGUGGAUGCUGGCUGGAUCUCUUGAGUGCUGACUCCCGAAGUUUAGCUACCAAGGUAGUGUUUGGUUCACCAUGGUUAAUGGUAUCGCAAUGAAAGUUAAAAAGCAGUGGAUUCCAAAUCAAUGAAUACCAUCGCAUGCUUUGCUUGGUUGA
Zea mays is the source of this 6437-nucleotide long non-coding RNA. RefSeq lists it as uncharacterized. The record is from RefSeq and is a predicted model, not a curated record. The transcript is spliced from 3 exons. Lineage: Eukaryota; Viridiplantae; Streptophyta; Magnoliopsida; Poales; Poaceae.